This 474-nucleotide ribosomal RNA is filed under the name uncultured organism. RNAcentral describes it as "partial 16S ribosomal RNA". It matches the Rfam family "Bacterial small subunit ribosomal RNA", at positions 332 to 797 of the family's 1533-position model. The record is from RNAcentral.
UACACUCCUACGGGAGGCAGCAGUGGGGAAUUUUGGACAAUGGGCGAAAGCCUGAUCCAGCCAUGCCGCGUGCAGGAUGAAGGCCUUCGGGUUGUAAACUGCUUUUGUACGGAACGAAACGGCCUUUUCUAAUAAAGAGGGCUAAUGACGGUACCGUAAGAAUAAGCACCGGCUAACUACGUGCCAGCAGCCGCGGUAAUACGUAGGGUGCAAGCGUUAAUCGGAAUUACUGGGCGUAAAGCGUGCGCAGGCGGUUAUGUAAGACAGUUGUGAAAUCCCCGGGCUCAACCUGGGAACUGCAUCUGUGACUGCAUAGCUAGAGUACGGUAGAGGGGGAUGGAAUUCCGCGUGUAGCAGUGAAAUGCGUAGAUAUGCGGAGGAACACCGAUGGCGAAGGCAAUCCCCUGGACCUGUACUGACGCUCAUGCACGAAAGCGUGGGGAGCAAACAGGAUUAGAAACCCGAGUAGUCCCA